GAAAUGCGAUAAGUAGUGUGAAUUGCAGAAUUCAGUGAAUCAUCGAAUCUUUGAACGCACAUUGCGCCCUUUGGUAUUCCAAAGGGCAUGCCUGUUCGAGCGUCAUUUGUACCCUCAAGCUUUGCUUGGUGUUGGGCGUCUUGUCUCUAGCUUUGCUGGAGACUCGCCUUAAAGUAAUUGGCAGCCGGCCUACUGGUUUCGGAGCGCAGCACAAGUCGCACUCUCUAUCAGCAAAGGUCUAGCAUCCAUUAAGCCUUUUUUCAACUUUUGACCUCGGAUCAGGUAGGGAUACCCGCUGACCUUAAGC
RNAcentral lists this unclassified non-coding RNA (307 nucleotides) under plant metagenome. RNAcentral describes it as "partial contains 5.8S ribosomal RNA, internal transcribed spacer 2, and large subunit ribosomal RNA". The stretch from base 1 to 105 matches the Rfam family "5.8S ribosomal RNA", at positions 50 to 154 of the family's 154-position model. The record is from RNAcentral.